GGGGAGAUAGCUCAGUUGGUAGAGUGCUUGCCUCACAUAUAAGGCUCUGGGUUCAAUCCCCAGCACCACA
This 70-nucleotide transfer RNA is filed under the name Marmota monax (woodchuck). RNAcentral's name for it is "tRNA.Val". Lineage: Eukaryota; Metazoa; Chordata; Mammalia; Rodentia; Sciuridae. The record is from RNAcentral.